RNAcentral lists this ribosomal RNA (866 nucleotides) under Escherichia coli. Its description in RNAcentral is "partial 23S ribosomal RNA". It matches the Rfam family "Bacterial large subunit ribosomal RNA", at positions 498 to 1363 of the family's 2925-position model. Lineage: Bacteria; Pseudomonadati; Pseudomonadota; Gammaproteobacteria; Enterobacterales; Enterobacteriaceae. The record is from RNAcentral.
GUACCGUGAGGGAAAGGCGAAAAGAACCCCGGCGAGGGGAGUGAAAAAGAACCUGAAACCGUGUACGUACAAGCAGUGGGAGCACGCUUAGGCGUGUGACUGCGUACCUUUUGUAUAAUGGGUCAGCGACUUAUAUUCUGUAGCAAGGUUAACCGAAUAGGGGAGCCGAAGGGAAACCGAGUCUUAACUGGGCGUUAAGUUGCAGGGUAUAGACCCGAAACCCGGUGAUCUAGCCAUGGGCAGGUUGAAGGUUGGGUAACACUAACUGGAGGACCGAACCGACUAAUGUUGAAAAAUUAGCGGAUGACUUGUGGCUGGGGGUGAAAGGCCAAUCAAACCGGGAGAUAGCUGGUUCUCCCCGAAAGCUAUUUAGGUAGCGCCUCGUGAAUUCAUCUCCGGGGGUAGAGCACUGUUUCGGCAAGGGGGUCAUCCCGACUUACCAACCCGAUGCAAACUGCGAAUACCGGAGAAUGUUAUCACGGGAGACACACGGCGGGUGCUAACGUCCGUCGUGAAGAGGGAAACAACCCAGACCGCCAGCUAAGGUCCCAAAGUCAUGGUUAAGUGGGAAACGAUGUGGGAAGGCCCAGACAGCCAGGAUGUUGGCUUAGAAGCAGCCAUCAUUUAAAGAAAGCGUAAUAGCUCACUGGUCGAGUCGGCCUGCGCGGAAGAUGUAACGGGGCUAAACCAUGCACCGAAGCUGCGGCAGCGACGCUGAUGCGUUGUUGGGUAGGGGAGCGUUCUGUAAGCCUGUGAAGGUGUGCUGUGAGGCAUGCUGGAGGUAUCAGAAGUGCGAAUGCUGACAUAAGUAACGAUAAAGCGGGUGAAAAGCCCGCUCGCCGGAAGACCAAGGGUUCCUGUCCAAC